RNAcentral lists this ribosomal RNA (600 nucleotides) under uncultured bacterium. RNAcentral's name for it is "bacterial SSU rRNA". It matches the Rfam family "Bacterial small subunit ribosomal RNA", at positions 795 to 1393 of the family's 1533-position model. The record is from RNAcentral.
CCUAGCCGUAAACGAUGGAAACUAGGCGUGGCUUGUAUCGACCCGAGCCGUGCCGAAGCUAACGCGUUAAGUUUCCCGCCUGGGGAGUACGCACGCAAGUGUGAAACUCAAUGGAAUUGACGGGGGCCCGCACAAGCGGUGGAGUAUGUGGUUUAAUUCGAUGCAACGCGAAGAACCUUACCAGGGCUUGACAUCUGGCGAAUCUUGAUGAAAGUUAAGAGUGCCUUCGGGAGCGCCAAGACAGGUGGUGCAUGGCUGUCGUCAGCUCGUGUCGUGAGAUGUUGGGUUAAGUCCCGCAACGAGCGCAACCCUCGUCCUUAGUUGCUAGCGAUUUAAUCGCGCACUCUAGGGAGACUGCCGGGGAAAACUCGGAGGAAGGUGGGGAUGACGUCAAGUCAGCAUGCCCCUUACGUCCUGUGCUACACACGUACUACAAUGGUCGAGACAAAGGGCAGCAAACUGGCAACAGCAAGCGAAUCCCAGCAAACUCGGUCACAGUUCGGAUUGCAGGCUGAAACUCGCCUGCAUGAAGGAGGAAUCGCUAGUAAUCGCAGGUCAGCAUACUGCGGUGAAUCCGUUCCCGGGCCUUGUACACACCGU